CUCUUCCUCGCUCCCCAGUCCGCGCCUCGCUGGGCUCAGCACCCCGGCCCCCGGCGGGACGGAGGCUCGGGUCCAAAGCAGUGGCUGCACCGACACGAACCCGUCUGCGUUUCUCCACCUGUCUUCCCUCGCCACCUGCAUCUACUAUGGUCUCUAAAUGCCUCGCUUUGUACUUUGUGGCUUUCUGGCAGCCCUUUAAAGCAGCGGUGAAAGAAAGGAGAGAGUCAAGACACGGGAGAAAAUGUUUCAUCCCGGGUUCUUCUAGUGGUGCCCGCCUUGACACGACUCGGGGGACUGCCUAAGCAAAAGGUGGAAAAGAUGGAGCUGGAAGACAAAGACGGCUCCGGAUUCCAAAACUUCAAUGGCGUCGCCAAAUUGACGAGCUCAUUAACCUUUGGAGUAUUGUUAUUUAAAAAGUAGGAAAUAAAAGAUAAAUGUGGAAAUAUUUAAUAAAAGAAAAACGUAAGCUCUCAAUUUUCUUUAUUACUUUUUUUUUUUUGAGACGGAGUCUCUCGCUCUGUCGCCCAGUGGCACGAUCUUGGCUCACUGCAAGCUCCGCCUCCCGGGUUUACGCCAUUCUUCUGCCUCAGCCUCCCGAGUAGCCGGGACUACAGGCGCCCGUCACCACGCCCGGCUAAUUUUUUCUAUUUUUUUGGUAGAGACAGGGUUUCACCGUGUUAGCCAGGAUGGUCGCGAUCUCCUGACCUCGUGAUCCUCCCGCCUCGGCCUCCCACAGUGCUGGGAUUACAGGAGUAAGCCACCACCGCUCCCAGCCGAUUUCCUUUAUUUUUUUUCUGGUCCUUGUUUAGCCAUGAUCCAUCGCAGGCUGAGCCCUGACAAACGCAAAGCCUUCCAAACUGGGAAAUUGAGAAAGUUAUUUUCAUCAAUGAAUGUAGAGGCGUCACACUUCUGCCGAAAUAGCUCCACUGGGAAGCAUGCUCUGCUGAAGAUCUCAAAGUUCACGGACUGAUUUCCAGUUUUAUUCUGUCUUCACUCCUGCCGGAUAAUUUGACUUCCCUUAGAUGACGUUACAGAAGUAAUUUUACCUAAGACAGGUGCGCCCUCUAUCGUAAGGAUAUCUUUCAGACUCUUGGUCCACACAAGAGUUGGUGGCACCGGAGAGCUUGUUAGAAGAGCGAAAUCUCAGCUUCACCUCAGACGUACUGAACCAGAAGUAGCAAUUUAACAAGAUCCACAAGAGAUUCUUUUGCACAUUUAAGAAGCAAUAUGACGUGCUUUGACGUGGAUGGAGUAAGGGUGUAUAGUAUAAAUACGCGGCUGUGUUUUUUCCCCCAAUUUUCUAUUCUAACAGAAAACAUAAUUGCAAAAAAUAUAUAUUUCUAUUGCUGAAUCA
Long non-coding RNA from Homo sapiens (human), 1354 nucleotides. RefSeq lists it as uncharacterized. Lineage: Eukaryota; Metazoa; Chordata; Mammalia; Primates; Hominidae. The record is from RefSeq and is a predicted model, not a curated record. The transcript has 2 exons.